AGCGAACGCUGGCGGCGUGCUUAACACAUGCAAGUCGCGCGGGUGGUUUCGGCCAUCAGCGGCGGACGGGUGAGUAUCGCGUAGGAAUGUAUCCCGAGGUGGGGGACAACCCUGGGAAACUGGGGCUAAUACCGCGUGGGGCCUGUGGGUCAAAGCCUUAGGGCGCCUUGGGAGCAGCCUGCGUCCGAUUGGGUAGUUGGUGGGGUAAAGGCCUACCAAGCCUGCGAUCGGUAGCUGGUCUGCGAGGACGAUCAGCCAGACGGGGACUGCGACACGGCCCAGACCCCGACGGGAGGCAGCGGUGGAGAAUAUUGGACAAUGGGCGCAAGCCUGAUCCAGCAAUGCCGCGUGGGUGAAGAAGGUCUUCGGAUUGUAAAGCCCUUUCGGCGGGGACGAUGAUGACGGUACCCGCAGAAGAAGCCCCGGCUAACUUCGUG
Molecule: ribosomal RNA, 437 nt
Filed under: uncultured bacterium
Lineage: Bacteria
Description: partial 16S ribosomal RNA
Rfam family: Bacterial small subunit ribosomal RNA
Source: RNAcentral